This 89-nucleotide transfer RNA is filed under the name Cyanomargarita calcarea. RNAcentral describes it as "tRNA-Ser". It matches the Rfam family "tRNA". From Rfam's summary of the family: Transfer RNA (tRNA) molecules are approximately 80 nucleotides in length. Their secondary structure includes four short double-helical elements and three loops (D, anti-codon, and T loops). Further hydrogen bonds mediate the characteristic L-shaped molecular structure. tRNAs have two regions of fundamental functional importance: the anti-codon, which is responsible for specific mRNA codon recognition, and the 3' end, to which the tRNAs corresponding amino acid is attached (by aminoacyl-tRNA synthetases). tRNAs cope with the degeneracy of the genetic code in two manners: having more than one tRNA (with a specific anti-codon) for a particular amino acid; and 'wobble' base-pairing, i.e. permitting non-standard base-pairing at the 3rd anti-codon position. The record is from RNAcentral. RNAcentral also lists the same sequence under 1 other name. Lineage: Bacteria; Bacillati; Cyanobacteriota; Cyanophyceae; Nostocales; Cyanomargaritaceae.
GGAGAGGUGGCCGAGUGGCUUAAGGCGACUGUCUGCUAAACAGUACCGGUUUAUAUAAGCCGACGCAGGUUCAAAUCCUGUCCUCUCCG